UUCAGAGGUGUGAUCUGAUUGGGACAUGAUU
RNAcentral lists this non-coding RNA (31 nucleotides) under Mus musculus (house mouse). RNAcentral also lists the same sequence under 1 other name. The record is from RNAcentral. Lineage: Eukaryota; Metazoa; Chordata; Mammalia; Rodentia; Muridae.